GGGAGGGGUCAGAUAUCUGGGUACAUGUGCCGUGUAUAGGACGCAGGCGAGGAGUGCAGCUCGGGCUCAGGAAGCCACGCCUGACCAUUAGAGCAGCAGCAGCAGCAGCUCAGAGACUUCAGCAAAGACCUGCAGCAGCAACCACUGCAUACAGAUGUUGUCUUCUGACUGAGACUCAUCAGAGCUUCAGUAUUAAAGUGGUUGUGCUGGUGGAAAGUCAGGUGACUAUGAUGGCGUCGGGGGCACCAUUGACUCGGACCAAGAACACGCCUCCUAUGACCCACAGUGGCUCUGACCGUCCGCCAGCUCGUGUCAGAGCGGUUUCAAACCUGCUGCCAGGCUGAGAGACGGCGGUCAGUCAGUGAAAACAUCACAGUGAAAGAGGAAGUGGAACAGGAAGUGACAGGGAGGGGUGGUCGUGUCAUACAGGAGCAAAACAGACAGAAGAGGAUUUGUGUGAGGCACUCGAAGGCAGCAGGUAAGAGGACAGAGAGAGAGAGAGAGAGAGAGUGUGUGUGUGUGUGUGUGUGUGUGUGUGUGUGUGUGUGUGUGUGUGUGUGUGUGUGUGUGUGUGUGUGUGUGUGUGGAGUGCACUGCGUGGACGUGGAGAACACGGUCACCGUCGGUGUUUCUGUGUUCGUUCUGACUGAUGAAGGAGAUGAAAUAACGUCUCUAUGAGUGCGUGUUAUUGAACAUGCAUUAUAAUGAGUUUGCAGAGCUGUUGUUGUGUUUGCCCUCUCAGUCUCUUCAAAACUGAUUUUUAAUGUCGCUGUUUUCACCCGGGUCAAUAAACAUCAAAGUUACGGGAAAGUCGUCUGUUGCUGAAAAUGACCUGAUAUCACUGAGACGUGUUUGACGUGUGUGUGUAACGUUCAGGCUGCAAAGUUGUUUGCAUCGGGUUAAAUUCCUGCGUCAGUGUGUGUGGAGCUGCCCGUCGCUCCUGCAGGAACGUGGACGCCAUCCUUACUUUGGUGCUUUUAAAGUCCAGAGUCUCUGUUGUUAUCCCGGGACUCCUGCUCUGCAGACGCACCUGUACACACAAUGGACAGCCCUCAGCCCAGGCUGUGGUCACCGAAGUAACCAUGUAAUGGAUUUACUGUCAGGUCACAUGUGAGUCAUUGGUGUCCUGCGCUCUUCUUGGCUUGAGGGCUCUGAUGCUGAUUUCAUUGUGACGCCUCAGGCUCAUGGCACCUCUGUGACUCCCAGAUAUCAGCUUUUCUUGUAGUCACACGAUCACUCGUCUUCAUGGUUAGCUAGACACAGGCUCACGUUACCUGCCUGUCCUCCCCUCAGUAAGGCAGGAAAAAGAGGAGGCGGC
Molecule: long non-coding RNA, 1318 nt
Organism: Astatotilapia calliptera (eastern happy)
Lineage: Eukaryota; Metazoa; Chordata; Actinopteri; Cichliformes; Cichlidae
Source: Ensembl